This 398-nucleotide ribosomal RNA is filed under the name uncultured bacterium. RNAcentral describes it as "bacterial SSU rRNA". It matches the Rfam family "Bacterial small subunit ribosomal RNA", at positions 29 to 418 of the family's 1533-position model. The record is from RNAcentral.
AACGAACGCUGGCGGCGCGCCUAAUACAUGCAAGUCGAGCGAGAAGGUGUAGCAAUACACUUGUAAAGCGGCGAACGGGUGAGGAAUACAUGGGUAACCUACCCUCGAGUGGGGAAUAACUAGCCGAAAGGUUAGCUAAUACCGCGUACGCUUCCGGGACUGCGGUUCCGGAAGGAAAGCGAUACUGUGAGUAUCGCGCUCUUGGAUGGGCUCAUGUCCUAUCAGCUUGUUGGGAGGUAACGGCUCACCAAGGCUUCGACGGGUAGCUGGUCUGAGAGGACGAUCAGCCACACUGGCACUGCGACACGGGCCAGACUCCUACGGGAGGCAGCAGUGGGGAAUCUUGGACAAUGGAGGAAACUCUGAUCCAGCCAUGCCGCGUGAGUGAUGAAGGCCUU